UACGGAGGGGGCGAGCGUUAUUCGGAAUUAUUGGGCGUAAAGGGUGCGUAGGCGGUUUGGUAAGUCUUAUGUGAAAUCUACAGGCUCAACUUGUAGUCUGCAUGAGAAACUGCCGGGCUUGAGUGUGGGAGAGGUGAGUGGAAUUCCUGGUGUAGCGGUGAAAUGCGUAGAUAUCAGGAGGAACACCUGUGGCGAAAGCGGCUCACUGGACCAUAACUGACGCUGAUGCACGAAAGCUAGGGGAGCAAACAGG
RNAcentral lists this ribosomal RNA (253 nucleotides) under uncultured bacterium. Its description in RNAcentral is "partial 16S ribosomal RNA". It matches the Rfam family "Bacterial small subunit ribosomal RNA", at positions 524 to 776 of the family's 1533-position model. The record is from RNAcentral.